UACGUAGGGUGCAAGCGUUGUCCGGAAUUAUUGGGCGUAAAAGAGCUCGUAGGCGGUCUGUCGCGUCUGCUGUGAAAAACUCGGGGCUUAACCCCGGGCCUGCAGUGGGUACGGGCAGACUAGAGUGCGGUAGGGGGAGACUGGAAUUCCUGGUGUAGCGGUGAAAUGCGCAGAUAUCAGGAGGAACACCGGUGGCGAAGGCGGGUCUCUGGGCCAUACUGACGUGAGGAGCGAAAAGCAUGGGUAGCGAAACGG
RNAcentral lists this ribosomal RNA (255 nucleotides) under uncultured bacterium. Its description in RNAcentral is "partial 16S ribosomal RNA". It matches the Rfam family "Bacterial small subunit ribosomal RNA", at positions 524 to 776 of the family's 1533-position model. The record is from RNAcentral.